GAUGAACGCUAGCGGCAGGCUUAAUACAUGCAAGUCGUGGGGCAGCAGGGGUAGCAAUACCCGCUGGCGACCGGCAAACGGGUGCGGAACACGUACGCAACCUCCCUUUAACUGGAGAAUAGCCCCUCGAAAGAGGGAUUAAUACUCCGUAACAUAUUGAUAAGGCAUCUUAUUACUAUUAUAGCUCCGGCGGUUAAAGAUGGGCGUGCGCCUGAUUAGAUAGUUGGCAGGGUAACGGCCUACCAAGUCUGCGAUCAGUAACUGGUGUGAGAGCACGACCAGUCACACGGGCACUGAGACACGGGCCCGACUCCUACGGGAGGCAGCAGUAAGGAAUAUUGGUCAAUGGACGCAAGUCUGAACCAGCCAUGCCGCGUGGAGGAUUAAGGCCCUCUGGGUUGUAAACUCCUUUUAUCUGGGAAGAAAUGCUAUUUUUUCUAAAGUGCUUGACGGUACCAGAGGAAUAAGCACCGGCUAACUCCGUGCCAG
RNAcentral lists this ribosomal RNA (489 nucleotides) under uncultured bacterium. Its description in RNAcentral is "bacterial SSU rRNA". It matches the Rfam family "Bacterial small subunit ribosomal RNA", at positions 28 to 511 of the family's 1533-position model. The record is from RNAcentral.